UACGUAGGGGGCAAGCGUUGUCCGGAAUUAUUGGGCGUAAAGCGCGUGUAGGCGGUCCGGUAAGUCGGCUGUGAAAGUCCAGGGCUCAACCCUGGGAUGCCGGUCGAUACUGCCGGACUAGAGUUCGGAAGAGGCGAGUGGAAUUCCUAGUGUAGAGGUGAAAUUCGUAGAUAUUAGGAAGAACACCAGUGGCGAAGGCGGCUCACUGGUCCGGUACUGACGCUGAGGUGCGAAAGCGUGGGGAGCAAACAGG
Molecule: ribosomal RNA, 253 nt
Filed under: uncultured bacterium
Lineage: Bacteria
Description: partial 16S ribosomal RNA
Rfam family: Bacterial small subunit ribosomal RNA
Source: RNAcentral